RNAcentral lists this ribosomal RNA (497 nucleotides) under uncultured bacterium. Its description in RNAcentral is "partial 16S ribosomal RNA". It matches the Rfam family "Bacterial small subunit ribosomal RNA", at positions 28 to 507 of the family's 1533-position model. The record is from RNAcentral.
GAUGAACGCUGGCGGCGUGCCUAAUACAUGCAAGUCGAGCGAACGGACGAGAAGCUUGCUUCUCUGAUGUUAGCGGCGGACGGGUGAGUAACACGUGGAUAACCUACCUAUAAGACUGGGAUAACUUCGGGAAACCGGAGCUAAUACCGUAUAAUAUUUUGAACCGCAUGGUUCAAAAGUGAAAGACGGUCUUGCUGUCACUUAUAGAUGGAUCCGCGCUGCAUUAGCUAGUUGGUAAGGUAACGGCUUACCAAGGCAACGAUGCAUAGCCGACCUGAGAGGGUGAUCGUCCACACUGGAACUGAGACACGGUCCAGACUCCUACGGGAGGCAGCAGUAGGGAAUCUUCCGCAAUGGGCGAAAGCCUGACGGAGCAACGCCGCGUGAGUGAUGAAGGUCUUCGGAUCGUAAAACUCUGUUAUUAGGGAAGAACAUAUGUGUAAGUAACUGUGCACAUCUUGACGGUACCUAAUCAGAAAGCCACGGCUAACUACGUG